Molecule: unclassified non-coding RNA, 237 nt
Filed under: Hevea brasiliensis (rubber tree)
Lineage: Eukaryota; Viridiplantae; Streptophyta; Magnoliopsida; Malpighiales; Euphorbiaceae
Source: RNAcentral
GAGAAAACAAAAGCAUUCAGUGUGAGUGGGACCAUUUCCUGAGAAAGAAAUCAACGGUUGUAAUUGAUUGAUGAGCUGGAUGGAGAAAUGAUCCAAGUGUUGAUGGGUUGUCUCUUACUUUGCACUUGCAGAUAGUGGGCAAGGUAAGAGAAGAUUGGUGAAUUCGGCUGCGAUGAUUGCGCUAGAUUGAUUGCCGUCCACAAUCUUCACUCUUUUUUAUUGGUGCAAAUCUCCACU